UGGGGAAUAUUGGGCAAUGGAGGAAACUCUGACCCAGCCAUGCCGCGUGAGUGAUGAAGGCCUUAGGGUUGUAAAGCUCUUUCGUUGGUGACGAUAAUGACGGUAACCAAAGAAGAAGCCCCGGCUAACUUCGUGCCAGCAGCCGCGGUAAUACGAAGGGGGCUAGCGUUGUUCGGAAUAACUGGGCGUAAAGAGCUCGUAGGCUGUGUCGCAAGUCAGGGGUGAAAUCCCGAGGCUUAACCUCGGAACUGCCUUUGAAACUGCGGCACUGGAAUCUCAGAGGGGAUAGCGGAAUUCCAAAUGUAGGGGUGAAAUCCGUAGAUAUUUGGAGGAACACCGGUGGCGAAGGCGGCUAUCUGGAUGAGUAUUGACGCUGAGGAGCGAAAGCGUGGGGAUCAAA
Molecule: ribosomal RNA, 400 nt
Filed under: uncultured bacterium
Lineage: Bacteria
Description: bacterial SSU rRNA
Rfam family: Bacterial small subunit ribosomal RNA
Source: RNAcentral